GUACACGCUGUGACUAGCAUAUCAAUAAGCGGAGGAAAAGAAACUAACAAGGAUUCCCCUAGUAACGGCGAGUGAAGCGGGAAGAGCUCAAAUUUGAAAUCUUAAAGGGUUUCCCUUUACGAAUUGUAGUUUAAAGAAGUGUUUUCUGUUGAGGUUUUGGUAAAAGUUCUUUGGAAUAGGACAUCAUAGAGGGUGAGAAUCCCGUAUUUGACCUUUACUUUCAACUUUGUGAUACACUUUCAAAGAGUCGGAUUGUUUGGGAAUGCAGUCCAAAAUGGGUGGUAAAUUUCAUCUAAAGCUAAAUAUUGGCGAGAGACCGAUAGUGAACAAGUACCGUGAGGGAAAGAUGAAAAGAACUUUGAAAAGAGAGUUAAACAGUACGUGAAAUUGUCAAAAGGGAAGCGUUUGACACCAGUGUUGUUUUUCUGAAAAUCAAUUAAAGAACUGUUUAUGCUAAGCUGUUUAGACUUUAUCAGCUAUCUGUUUAGUUUUGAGCUUUUCUUUAAUGCACUUUUCAGUUAACAAGUCAACAUCAAUUUCUUUUGCUGUAAAAAAGCUUGAGGAAGGUGGCUUGAGAUUCGUCUUAAGUGUUUAUAGCCUCUUGCCUAUGCAGUCGGAGAGAUUGAGGUCUGCAGCGUAGAUCCUUCGGGGCUAAAUGCAUUUGUGCUAAGUUAUAGCAUUUUAUAGACAACUUGUUGACUAUGAUUUGUCUUGUAGCUUACUCGCUUAUGUUAUUUUACCUACGCUUAGGAUGUUGACGCGCGUGUGUGCGUG
Molecule: ribosomal RNA, 774 nt
Filed under: uncultured Neocallimastigales
Lineage: Eukaryota; Fungi; Neocallimastigomycota; Neocallimastigomycetes; Neocallimastigales
Description: partial large subunit ribosomal RNA
Rfam family: Eukaryotic large subunit ribosomal RNA
Source: RNAcentral